UGGGGAAUUUUGGACAAUGGGCGCAAGCCUGAUCCAGCCAUGCCGCGUGCAGGAUGAAGGCCUUCGGGUUGUAAACUGCUUUUGUACGGAACGAAACGGCCUUUUCUAAUAAAGAGGGCUAAUGACGGUACCGUAAGAAUAAGCGCCGGCUAACUACGUGC
This 161-nucleotide ribosomal RNA is filed under the name uncultured bacterium. Its description in RNAcentral is "partial 16S ribosomal RNA". It matches the Rfam family "Bacterial small subunit ribosomal RNA", at positions 355 to 508 of the family's 1533-position model. The record is from RNAcentral.